This 7065-nucleotide long non-coding RNA is filed under the name Lactuca sativa (garden lettuce). RNAcentral's name for it is "long non-coding RNA (LSAT_LNC001102)". Lineage: Eukaryota; Viridiplantae; Streptophyta; Magnoliopsida; Asterales; Asteraceae. The record is from RNAcentral.
GAUCCUAACGACCGAGUUAGGGAAAAACUAUUCCCUGCUACUACCACUAACACACAUAGCAUAUCGCAUAUGCAUAUCACAUAAACAUAUCUCAUAAGCACAUCACAUAAGCAUAUCUCAAGAGCAUAUCAAAUAAACAUACCAAGAUAAUUAUCACAAAGACAAUUAUCUACCAACUACCCCUGUUGGUGGGCCGGCAUUGUGGCCUUAGAUCCACCCCUACUGGAAGGUAACUCACCUCACACUGUUGAAGUCCCGUAGACAGAAUCCCACACUGCUAAAGUCCCGCAGACUCAACCCCAGCUGCUGGAUGACAGAUUUCCAAACUGUCAAUACCAAAAUAACACCCAAUUAAUAAUCGGGUUCCACUACAUAACCAUAACACAUACUUGGAUAAUUACUACAUUACCCCAAGCUUGGUGUAUUCAAGCCCAAGGCCCAAUCCAUAGGCCCAAAGUCAACUAGGAAUCAAAGCCCACCAUAUGGCCCAAUUUUCCAAAUUGGGCCGAGGCCUAUACAUGGUCUUAUUCUAAGGCCCAAUAUCAUAUAAUCAUGAAGGCCCAAAGUAUGGCCCAAGUUUCCAAAUUGGGCCCAACUCCUCAUAUGGGCCUUACCACAAAGCCCAUUAAUUUAUUUUAGUCCAAUUGCUUGACUUUGGAUGACCCAUUAAUAACCCGAUCAUGAAGGGCCAAUAAUAAACCCAAAUGAGAUUAGGGUUUCGCAUAAAAUGACAAUUAGCGUUAGGUUUCCUACUUAACCCAAUAAGGACUUAAUCCUCUAAGGACUUAAUCCAUUAAGUCCAAUAUCGCUUAGAUUAAUCUUGCCAAUGCUUAUUAUUUAAUAUUUCAAGUUAUUAAUAAUUCCCGUGUGUGUGUCCCAAUUAAUUCUCAAAUUUAGGGUUUCAUUGCAUUAGGGUUUUCCAAACCCUAAUUAAGGUUUCCAACCCACAUUAGUCCAUUAGGUCCAAUAGCUAAGUCAUUAGAUCCAUUAUGGUUCACUAAGCCCAUUAGACACAUGUUUGGGCUUUAAUGUCAAUUAGGGCUUUAUUGGGCCCAUUAGGGCUUACAAGGCCCAUUAGGGUUUUAGUCCCUUGUCAAGACAUCCCAACUGAAUUACAACACAACUAAGCACACCGCCCCCCGACAUGGUGGCCGGUGGCGGUAGGAGGCGGCAGCCACCACCCUUCGGUGGUGGUUUGAGUUCCAUUUCAUUAUUCCAGUUUUUACAAUUACAAUGAAUUCACGAAAUAACAUGCACACUAUACUAAAACAACACACACCCACAACCACCCUUGUGGUGGUCAUUGGUGGUACACGGUGGCAGCCACCACCUCACGGUGGUGGUCGUCUUUUCUUGGUUGUCCGACUAGACAAGACACACACAACACAUACUAAUCACCAAUAGUCGGCUGAAACUAACACACACACACACACACGCAGAGCACACACCCUCAUGUUAACAGCGGAGGAGAACGACGACACAACGACGGCUGAAACAAAUUGAAACGGGGACCAAAGGCCAUUUCCGGUGGCAACAGUAGCAGUUAGCGGCGUUGGAAACCACACCUUCCCCGGAGACAACGCCACAGCAGGAGAAUAGGGACGAGAGAGGGAAGACGGUGGCGAUUACGGGACGUGCUCGACUAGCCUUCCUACGACCCCACCAAGGUUCAAGGCUCUCCUCCGUCGGACAUGAGAGGGAGCGACCCAACCAAGAAAUCAUUCUCGAUCUCAAUGACUGGGUAGUGGACACUUCGUCCUCAUCGGCAGCUAGAUAACACGGCGGUUCCUCGGUGGUUUCUGGCAUAAACAGCGGUAGCAGCAUCUGCUGGAACAGCGAGCUCGUCGGUCUCCCCUGACCGGGACAAUAAAGGAAACGACGGCUGGGAAACGACAUGCUUGCCGAAAUCAGUGAUGCCAUCGGCGGAUGAGGAGGGAUUCUAUGAUGGUGGCGGCCGGGGGGGGACAUAAGGGGGGUGACGGCUGGAGGGUUCAUUUAGGGUUAGGGUUAUGAGAUCAAUAACACAGUUAAAUACCCGGUGUUUGAAACUCACGACCAUAUUGACAGGAAUGGUCCCUAUGUCUCCCCUUUCUUUCAAAUCAAACCCACAAAUUACCAUUUGGACCCCGCCUCUUCAAUUUCUUUACAAUUUUAGUCCAAAUUUUACUAAACAACCCCUCUCUCAACAAAUCCUUUUCAAAAUCAAUCCAUAAUUUGUCUUUUUAACCCCUGAUUCUCAGUUAUGACAUAAUCAGCCCUUCCACCUCAUUUCCUUUUAAAUUAAAUUCAAAUAAUUACCACGGAGCUCCUAUCUUCAUAAAUAAUUAUAAACUGAGUCCGAAAAUUACACUUUUAACCCUCGACUUCUAAAAUGGUUUCAAUUAGCUCUUCGAGAACAUCCUUUUAUACAUAAUUAUUUACUUUAGGGCUACGAGUCCUUUAUUUCUUUAUUUAUUUAUUUAAUAAAUAAACGGUUGUUACAACUCUCCCCCACAUAAAUUAGAUUUCGUCCUCGAAAUCGUUCCUUACCAUUCCUUACUCGCCCAACCACUCUAGUAGCAUGGUUACCAACCUGGCCAUCCCUAGCCUUCCCAGGGUAGCCAUGACCAAUACUCGUAAAGCCCUAAAAUCCGCAGGUGAACGAAUUCCUCACAACAAGUUCACAUCUACUUCGUCUGAAUCUACUAUCUCGAGAUGGUUUGAUUCCCUGACAGACCACUCAUAUUGAUUCAUCAUCGAUGAAUCUAGUCCGUUUAUCCCUUUACCGACUACUCAACUUUCAAUAACUCGAGGCUCCCACUAUAAAACAGAUUCACAAACCUAAUUACCCCUGCAAAUCACUUAUUCUUGGUCAAGGAUCAGCUAAUCCCGCUGGGAGUGACUUGUCACUUCCCCGACAACCGGCUAUUCCGUCCGUACUUGCAACCUGAAACACAAUGCCAAGACUGCCAAAACACUGAAACUGCCCGAACACUGAACUGCCUAAAGUAGUAUGUUGCCACAUGGCUGCUUUCCAAAAUCUAACGAGACCUGCCUGGUCUCAAUUUAUUCACCAACGUUCUAAUCUAACCGAUCACAUCCAUGCGUCGAAUCCUGUCAUCAUCAAACCCAAGGCUAAUAGUGAUUGCCAACUAACUAAUGGUAGCCUUAAAUUACAAGCAAUCUCAUACAGUCCAUUGCUUUCCUGAUCUCAUAACUGUAGUGACGCCCCUACAGUCUCAUUACUGGCUUAACCAGAUCUAAUCCAUUUGAGUAAAUCCGAAAUCCAAUCUGUGGAUUUCCAUAUCCUUACUGCUGCACCCGAACUGGUGGGUACUAUUGCUCCUUCCGCGUCCUAACAAUGUACUCAUGCUAUCUACCAACCUAGCGAAUUCUACGGCUACAUCCACAGACUUACAACACUCCCCAAACUAACUGAACACUAGUGAAUGCUACGGCUACCCCCGUAGUCUUACAACACUUUCCAUACUAACUAACCACUAGUGAAUGCUAAGGCUACCCCCGUAGUCUUACGACACUUCCUAAACUAUCUGACCACUAGUGGAUGCUACGGCUACCCCCGUAGUCUUACAACACUUUCUAACUGGGUCAAGCACACAUUCGACCUAACACACCACCGAACUUGAGUCCUAACCGGAACUCUAACCUGGUUCCCAAAACUGGCUAUCAUGUGACCCCACUAUAUCAGUACCACAACCCAUUCCCAUGAUCAAAGCGUCAUAGUAACCCACGAAAUCAUCUACACCCUUUGGCAUAGUGAGAAUUAGUGCCUCACACAACCACUGUCUGAGUGUCUCGAAGGCUUCCUGCUACUCAGGCCCCCAACGAAAGGCCACCGACUUCUUGGUCAGUCGGGUCAAACGAACCACAAUAUCAAAUAAGUCCCAUAUAAGUCUCCGUUAAUAACCUGCUAGACCCGGGAAACUCUGAAUCUCAGAUGGAGACCUCGGAUUCUCCUACUGCAUCACAACCUCUAUCUUGGCCGGAUCAACUAGAAUACCCUUCUGGUUGACAAGGUGUCCAAGAUUUUGCACCCCGCGCAACCAGAACUCACAAUUGGAGAACUUUAUAAAAAGUAUCUCCCCCACUUAGAUUCAACUAAGUCUUCACAACACGCAAGAAUUGAAGGAUUCCCAAUCCUUCUCGCUUUCUAGUACCCCAUUGAUGACAACCUGUGCUUACCAAUCCUAGCGAUUAGUCACCGGUUAAACCUUAAGAUCGCCCAUACUCGGAAAUCUCGAUGAGUACUCUUGAAAUCUGGUCCAAUCUGACGUCUCUAUCCACCUCCCGUGCUGACACUAGAGGCCUUAAUCUUCACUCUGGCUGACGAGUCCUCAUUCCCACUUCCAAUGUCACAGUACCACUGAACACUAACUUCACUGCAAAAAUAUCGCUCUAACCCUGACCGAGGAUCUUCCAAUCAAUACUCCUGCACAUAUCUCGACAAAGAUUCAGAAUGAUAACGGUACAUGCGGAACCCACUCCGCAAGGUACGUCCUUCUGUGGGUUCAUCAAGGACCUUUCGACAUGCUGGAUGGCAUAUAUGAUCCCUGAUAACCCAAACACUAGCAGAAAACUGACCCGAGAUCUGACUUACCCAAACUCGCUCACAAUCCCAAAGCGAUACGUAUUAGCAUCAUCCAGUUAUUAGUAGUACAGACGACAUACCUACAACAUCUGAAGGAAUACUGAACACCCUCAACUGUCACGAUCAACCUCGCUACCUUGCAGUAGCCUAAACCCUUGGAGCGACAAACUCCCUUGUGCACUUUCCUGUACGUGAUGCACUGACUCUGGCCCUGCUGGCCUUUCACCUGAUGACCGGAAGUCAUGGGUCUCUUCCCGGGACCCUCUACUAAACGCACCUGACACGAACCUCUCGUUCCAGGGUGCUCCCAAUUUGAUCUCGCAUCUGCAAUUUCUUGGAAAUCAUAUCCUUCAGGGUCUGACACUCUGUCACGCUCACUAGCUCGCUUGCCAAUGGCUAAGCUGUAACAACUGGAACAUCCUCUAUCCCCAAACCGGGUCACAAACUUCUCCCUCAAGCUUCUUAGAUUCUCCAAGACUCUCGCCGAUUCGAGUAUGGAUCCUAUGCUUUUAGUAGUGCGGGCCCAAUACUACCUUCCACACCUAUCCAUACUUUCCUCAGCAAUCCUCCUGAAUCCUCCAAGUCACUUCUUCAAACUGGUACCCUGAAUGCUCACUAACAACACAACCGAACCCACUAAAGCACUUACUAGGCUUUCCUAGGUUCCCAUACUCACCCAGUCCUCAGCUGCUGACAGACUCCCCAAUAAUGUCAACUAGCUACCUCAUGAAUAUAGCCACUCGCGAUUUAGCAUAUUCACUUAGUAGCUAGCUCACAUUAUCAAGAGUCCCUCGAAGCACAAAGCAAGCAACAUUCAGAUAAUGGGAAAUCUAACCAACACAUUCCAAUCAAAUCCGUUUAUCCUCAUAUCAGGAAUAUAUACUAGCAUGUAAGUCCGAAGGCUCAUACAAUCAGGCAUAACCUAAACAGGCUAUCCUAGCACUGACUGAUCAAUACUAUCAUGUAAUUCAGCAAGCACAUACAACAGGCACAUAAGGCAUCUUCCUAGAUCCUUAGCCCUAGUCUAGCAUGCAGUUCUCAUAAUCGUAUCAUAACAUGCAUGGGUAUCUUGGGGAAAACUUACUUGAGCUCGGCUGAUUGCACACAUCACACACUUUGUUCUCAAAGUUCUUUUCCCUUUACAGAUUCUUUUCAAAUUCCUUUUUACAAAAUGGUUUUACUUUUGAAAAUUUUCAUACCAAGCCCUUAGUUUGAGUUCAGACACACCUGAGAGUAUGUCUGAAUCCCUCAAACCAAGGCUCUGAUACCAACUUGUAACAUCCCAAAAUUCAAGACCAAAAAUUUCAUUUUUAAUUAGGUUAUUACAUAAAAACAGAGUGUGAAUAAUCAAAAUAUAAUAUUAUGAAACCAUAUCAGCGUAUAAUCCCAAGGAUCUCAUGUACAGAAAACAUAGUGUGAUGCGCUGCGACCAAGUCGACUCCUUUCCUUUGAAACAAAAUACCGGAAACCAAAACUAUAAAUCGUAAGGACGAAGCUUAGUGAGUUCCGCCAUCAUACCACAUACCACCUAAUACCAUUAGUAUCUUUCAACCGGUAACUGUCACCGGUAUCUUUCAACCGGUAACCGGGGACUAUUUCACCCCUACCACUAUCACAUAAUAAUAUAUCAUAAACAUACUGAUCACGUACUAACAUCAUAAACAUGCUGAUCACAUAUUAACAUAUCAUAAACAUACAGAUCACAUACUAACAUAUCAUAAACAUACCGAUAAGCAUUGCAUGGGUUCUAUAUACCCCUUCAGUAUCUUUCAAGCUGUAACUGCCAUCGCUAUCUUUCAACUGGUAUCUGCCAUCAGUAUCUUUCAACCGAUAUCCGCCAUCAGUAUCUUUCAACCGGUAACCGAGGACUAUUUCACCCCCUACCACUAUUAUAUAAUAUCAUGAUAUAAUCAUAUAGUCAGGCAUUUCUGGGUACUGACCUACCCUUCGAUCCUAACGACCGAGUCAGGGAAAAACUCUUCCCUACUACUACCACUAACACACAUAGAAUAUCGCAUAAACAUAUCACAUAAACAUAUCUCAGAAGCACAUCACAUAAGCAUAUCUCAAGAGCAUAUCACAUAAACAUACCAAUAUAAUUAUCACAAAGACAAUUAUCUACCAACUAUCCCUGUUGGUGGGUUGGCAUUGUGGCCUUAGACCCACCCCUACUGGAAGGUAACUCACCUCACACUGCUGAAGUCCCGUAGAUAGAAUCCCACACUGCUGAAGUCCCGCAGACUCAACCCCAGCUGCUGGAUGACCGAUUCCCGAACUGUCAAUACCAAAAUAACACCCAAUUAAUAAUCAGGUUCCACUACAUAACCAUAACACAUACUUGGAUAAUUACUACAUUACCCCAAGCUUUGUGUAUUCAAGCCUAAGGCCUAAUCCAUAGGCCCAAAGUCAACUAGGAAUCAAAGCCCAGCAUAUGGCCCAAUUUUCCAAAUUGGGCCCAGGCCUAUACAUGGUCUUAU